RNAcentral lists this ribosomal RNA (200 nucleotides) under Sisyphus costatus. RNAcentral describes it as "partial 16S ribosomal RNA". Lineage: Eukaryota; Metazoa; Arthropoda; Insecta; Coleoptera; Scarabaeidae. The record is from RNAcentral.
AAUUAGAAUUUUAUCUUUAAGUGAAAAAGCUUAAAUAUAUUUAAAAGACGAGAAGACCCUAUAGAGUUUAAUAAAAUUAAAAUUUUUAAUAAUUAAAGAAUUUUAUCUAUUAUUUAUUUAAAUUUUAUUUGAUUGGGGUGAUUAAAAAAUUUAAAUAACUUUUUUUAAAAAUUUAACAUUAAUUUAUGAUUGUUUGAUCC